This 253-nucleotide ribosomal RNA is filed under the name uncultured bacterium. Its description in RNAcentral is "partial 16S ribosomal RNA". It matches the Rfam family "Bacterial small subunit ribosomal RNA", at positions 524 to 776 of the family's 1533-position model. The record is from RNAcentral.
GACGUAGGGGGCGAGCGUUGUCCGGAUUUAUUGGGCGUAAAGCGUGCGUAGGCGGCUGCGCAAGUCGGUUGUGAAAACCCGGGGCUCAACUCCGGGCUUGCAUUCGAUACGGGCAGGCUAGAGUUCGGUAGGGGAGUCUGGAAUUCCUGGUGUAGCGGUGAAAUGCGCAGAUAUCAGGAGGAACACCUGUGGCGAAGGCGGGACUCUGGGCCGAUACUGACGCUGAGGAGCGAAAGCGUGGGGAGCGAACAGG